RNAcentral lists this long non-coding RNA (605 nucleotides) under Monodelphis domestica (gray short-tailed opossum). RNAcentral's name for it is "lncRNA (ENSMODG00000044945.1)". Lineage: Eukaryota; Metazoa; Chordata; Mammalia; Didelphimorphia; Didelphidae. The record is from RNAcentral.
GCACAUGCUAGGAACUCUGGAGAGAAGAUUCUGGAAUUCGGUGACAGAGGAAGGUACAAUGGUCCAAGGCACUCUCUUCCUGUCCCGAGGCCUGGAGGGAGCUGCUUCUCACUGCUGAGCCUGUCUAACCAAGCCUGUUGUUCCUGUUUUAGGGGACUUGUCAUCUUCUGGGAUUUCUGCUGGUCAGGACUGCCACACUGCAAUACCAUCCUAACAAUACGCAGGUGCAGAAAAUCCAAGAUGGAGUCACAAAGAGUCAGACUUGACUGAAAUGAAUGGAUGACAAUAAGGAGAAUGGAGAGAUCCCUGGACCUGGAAUCAGGUGCAUAAGUUCAAAUCUUUUCUCUUCUAUUUCCUACUUGUAUGACUUUGGGAAAAUCAUUUAACCUCUAUAGGGCUCAGUUUCCUCAUUUAUAACAAGAUGAUCACUCUGUUACUAUGGGAUGGAGUUGCCUAAGAGUGUUUUGUCAGUUUAAAGAGGCAUGAAAUAAGCAAGAGAAAAAACAUAAACUCUGACAAAGGAGAACGUGGUGACGGAUUCCUAUGGCUUGCUAUGUAUUUGUCACAAGCUACGAAUGAAUAAAAAGUGAACUGGAACAUAAACA